Molecule: ribosomal RNA, 253 nt
Filed under: uncultured bacterium
Lineage: Bacteria
Description: partial 16S ribosomal RNA
Rfam family: Bacterial small subunit ribosomal RNA
Source: RNAcentral
UACGAAGGGGGCUAGCGUUGUUCGGAAUUACUGGGCGUAAAGCGCGUGUAGGCUGUUCGGAAAGUCGGGUGUGAAAGCCCUGGGCUCAACCUAGGAAGUGCACUCGAAACUCCCGAACUGGAGUCCCGGAGAGGAAGGCGGAAUUCUCGGUGUAGAGGUGAAAUUCGUAGAUAUCGAGAGGAACAUCGGUGGCGAAGGCGGCCUUCUGGACGGUGACUGACGCUGAGACGCGAAAGCGUGGGGAGCAAACAGG